Molecule: ribosomal RNA, 266 nt
Filed under: uncultured Planctomycetota bacterium
Lineage: Bacteria; Pseudomonadati; Planctomycetota
Description: uncultured planctomycete partial 16S ribosomal RNA
Rfam family: Bacterial small subunit ribosomal RNA
Source: RNAcentral
AAGCACGUAGGUGGGUUUGUAAGUCAGACGUGAAAGCCUUCUGUUCAACGGAAGAAUUGCAUCUGAAACUACAAACCUUGAGUGUAGGAGGGGAGAAUGGAACUUCUGGUGGAGCGGUGAAGUGCGUAGAUAUCAGAAGGAACGCCGGCGGCGAAAGCGAUUCUCUGGCCUAUUACUGACACUCAGUGUGCGAAAGCUAGGGGAGCAAACGGGAUUAGAUACCCCGGUAGUCCUAGCCGUAAACGAUGGGCACUAAGUAGAGGGGU